RNAcentral lists this ribosomal RNA (483 nucleotides) under uncultured bacterium. Its description in RNAcentral is "partial 16S ribosomal RNA". It matches the Rfam family "Bacterial small subunit ribosomal RNA", at positions 28 to 507 of the family's 1533-position model. The record is from RNAcentral.
GAUGAACGCUGGCGGCGUGCCUAACACAUGCAAGUCGAACGGAGUCGUUUUGGAAAUCUCUUCGGAGAUGGAAUUCUCGACUUAGUGGCGGACGGGUGAGUAACGCGUGAGCAAUCUGCCUUUAAGAGGGGGAUAACAGUCGGAAACGGCUGCUAAUACCGCAUAAAGCAUUAAAUUCGCAUGUUUUUGAUGCCAAAGGAGCAAUCCGCUUUUAGAUGAGCUCGCGUCUGAUUAGCUAGUUGGCGGGGUAACGGCCCACCAAGGCGACGAUCAGUAGCCGGACUGAGAGGUUGAACGGCCACAUUGGGACUGAGACACGGCCCAGACUCCUACGGGAGGCAGCAGUGGGGAAUAUUGCGCAAUGGGGGAAACCCUGACGCAGCAACGCCGCGUGAUUGAAGAAGGCCUUCGGGUUGUAAAGAUCCUUAAUCAGGGACGAAACAAAUGACGGUACCUGAAGAAUAAGCUCCGGCUAACUACGUG